Non-coding RNA from [Clostridium] clostridioforme 90A6, 87 nucleotides. The record is from Rfam. NCBI's taxonomy places the organism in Bacteria, Bacillati, Bacillota, Clostridia, Lachnospirales, Lachnospiraceae.
AGCACAUGUCCUUAAAAGAAACAGGUUCUAGCGCAUAGCGUGAACAGCCUGGAGGUUGAAAAGCGGAUGCGAUUUCCGGCAUGUGCG